Molecule: ribosomal RNA, 484 nt
Filed under: uncultured bacterium
Lineage: Bacteria
Description: partial 16S ribosomal RNA
Rfam family: Bacterial small subunit ribosomal RNA
Source: RNAcentral
AUUGAACGCUGGCGGCAGACCUAACACAUGCAAGUCGAGCGGAAGAAGGGAGCUUGCUCCUGGAUUCAGCGGCGGACGGGUGAGUAAAGCCUAGGAAUCUGCCUGGUUGUGGGGGGUAACGUCCGGAAACGGGCGCUAAUACCGCCUACGUCCUGAGGGAGAAAGUGGGGGAGCUUCGGACCUCACGCUAUCAGGUGAGCCUAGGUCGGGUUAGCUAGUUGGUGGGGUAAAGGCCUACCAAGGCGACGAUCCGUAACUGGUCUGAGAGGAUGAUCAGUCACACUGGAACUGAGACACGGUCCAGACUCCUACGGGAGGCAGCAGUGGGGAAUAUUGGACAAUGGGCGAAAGCCUGAUCCAGCCAUGCCGCGUGUGUGAAGAAGGUCUUCGGAUUGUAAAGCACUUUAAGUUGGGAGGAAGGGCAGUAAGUUAAUACCUUGCUGUUUUGACGUUACCAACAGAAUAAGCACCGGCUAACUUCGUG